Molecule: ribosomal RNA, 209 nt
Filed under: Varanus semotus (Mussau monitor)
Lineage: Eukaryota; Metazoa; Chordata; Lepidosauria; Squamata; Varanidae
Description: partial 16S ribosomal RNA
Rfam family: Bacterial large subunit ribosomal RNA
Source: RNAcentral
GUGAUUACAUUCAACGGCCGCGGUAUCCUAACCGUGCAAAGGUAGCGCAAUCACUUGUCCCCUAAAUAGUGACUAGUAUGAAUGGCCACACGAGAAUAAACCUGUCUCUUUUAGCAAAUCAGUGAAACUGAUCUUCCAGUACAAAAGCUGGAAUAUCAACAUAAGACGAAAAGACCCUGUGGAGCUUAAAUACCACCCUACCCCCCCUA